UAGCAGCACAUCAUGGUUUGCAUGCUGUAACAAAAAUGCUAAUCAUUAUUUGCUGCUUUG
RNAcentral lists this microRNA precursor (60 nucleotides) under Microcaecilia unicolor. RNAcentral's name for it is "Mun-Mir-15-P1b_pre stem-loop". The record is from RNAcentral. Lineage: Eukaryota; Metazoa; Chordata; Amphibia; Gymnophiona; Siphonopidae.